AAAAGUGGGAAGAAAAAAAAAAGUGGAUGAAUGCAAAACCAAUGAAUUUAUGUGAGCGUGGUUAUUGUUUGCCUUCCGGUCAUCAGGAUAACACCAGGGUAACACUUGCACUGUGUGCUUUGCUCGAUAAAUGUGCUGCUUUGCUCAGGCCUGGCUGGUCUUCUGACUGCCAGCAGUGCAGAUAGCAGGUGCUUCCUGACCUUGGUGUGGGGGUGAGGUUUGGUUGCUGUGGUUUAGAAGACUCUCAUAAAGAAAGGGUAGAAGAUUCAAAACAAAGUAGUUACUUACUAUGGAUACAAGUUAACUGGAGGUGAAAUUUUGCUCCUCCUACAAUGACCUGAUUUCUCUAAAAUCAAGUAUCUGCCAAAGCUCCUGUGAGGUUUUGAGGGAAUCCAGGAUGGCAGUUUCAGUGCCUUAUCCAAACAUGUAUUGGAAAAGGACCAGAGAAAUGGUGACAGCAGAUUCAGGUGUCCAGAUCACAGAAAAGCCUGCUAUGAUUGACACUAAUUGGCAGCCCUGCUGGCGGAUUCUGGAAUGCAAUUUGAAGACGGACUGGAUCAAGAGGAUGAAGUAAUGUGUUCACCUAGGAUCAGAGAUCUGGUAUAUCUGAUCAUCAGCAAAAACUCCUGUCUACAAUUCCUUCUUUUAGGACUUCUGGCCCUCACACUGGAAAUUAAUUUAAAACAAAUUAAAGAAAGAUGAAAAUACUUGUGAUCAUUUAUCCUUUUAAUUAAAUUAGAAGACUUGAGAGAAUGUUUGUGGUCAUUUGUGACCACUUACGCUUUUCAAUUGUAAAUUAAUGGGAAAUACGUUCCCAGAGUCAUCUGCAGCUAGUCCCAUGAGCCAUAUUACUCACUGUUUUUUCAGAGAGCAUCAGUGAAUGUGGGCUGGGAUAAUCUGAUGGACAAAUACUACAUUAGACUGCAACUUAGGAAAAAUAAAUUCUUCUCCAAAUACAAUGCAUUUUUCCAUAUAUCCUAAUAAGCUGCAAAGGCUCUACAAUGAGUUAUGUGCCACAGACCAAGGAACUUUUUCAUGAUGAAUCUCAGUUUGUAGACCUCUGAUAAAUCUAUUCUAUUAUACCUUGCUUAUGAAAGUUGCAUAGGAAAAAAGAAAAAAAAAAAAAUAGAACGCUGUGUAUAAACACUACAUAAGUGCCUUAUGAUUUCUCAUUUCCACCUUGAUCAACCCUUACGGAGCAAUUCUUUUCAGUCGUAAGAACCA
This is a non-coding RNA of Meleagris gallopavo (turkey), 1224 nucleotides long. The record is from RefSeq and is a predicted model, not a curated record. NCBI's taxonomy places the organism in Eukaryota, Metazoa, Chordata, Aves, Galliformes, Phasianidae.